GUACAUUUGCAGCGUUUUGGUGUUGUGUUAUCAUUCUAACUAACACACAAGAGGGAAACCGGUCAGAAUCCGGUACAGUACCCGCUACUGUGAUGCCCGCUUCUUCUGAAAAGAAGAUAUAUGACGGAUAAAUUCUUACACCACUGUUCCAGCGAAUACGAGGGAAUGGGAAGGUAUCUAUCCGGGGCGAGUCAGGAGACCUACCGAAACCAAUAGUUAACG
RNAcentral lists this non-coding RNA (222 nucleotides) under Sanguibacteroides justesenii. Lineage: Bacteria; Pseudomonadati; Bacteroidota; Bacteroidia; Bacteroidales; Porphyromonadaceae. The record is from RNAcentral. RNAcentral also lists the same sequence under 1 other name.